Molecule: transfer RNA, 76 nt
Filed under: Bythopirellula goksoeyrii
Lineage: Bacteria; Pseudomonadati; Planctomycetota; Planctomycetia; Pirellulales; Lacipirellulaceae
Description: Bythopirellula goksoyri tRNA-Gln
Rfam family: tRNA
About the family: Transfer RNA (tRNA) molecules are approximately 80 nucleotides in length. Their secondary structure includes four short double-helical elements and three loops (D, anti-codon, and T loops).
Source: RNAcentral
UCCGGGGUCGACGCUGCUGGUAGUGUUGCCUGCCUUUGAAGCAGGAGUCCGUAGGUUCGAUUCCUACCCCCGGAAC